Tachyglossus aculeatus (Australian echidna) is the source of this 138-nucleotide small nucleolar RNA. NCBI's taxonomy places the organism in Eukaryota, Metazoa, Chordata, Mammalia, Monotremata, Tachyglossidae. The record is from RefSeq and is a predicted model, not a curated record.
CCCCUCUCAGGGUCGCACCUGGAGAGUUUCCAGUACUCUAUCUGUCUUGACUAUGGGAGGGAAAGUCAAGCAGAAGCAUAUCCAUUCCAUUUCUAGCUUGGGAAGUGGCUAGCAAGUGGAAAGCAUUCUGCUACAAGU